AUCAAGGCUAGAGUCAUGCUUGAGUAUUGGCUAUUGCCUUAGUGUGCUAGAGUCCUCGAAAAGUAACUGCUGAUCUUAUUCACUAGCUAUGGGCUUUGUAGCAGUCAGUCACCAGGGUAGGAACAUGU
This 128-nucleotide small nucleolar RNA is filed under the name Chinchilla lanigera (long-tailed chinchilla). RNAcentral describes it as "Small nucleolar RNA SNORA3/SNORA45 family (ENSCLAG00000019991.1)". It matches the Rfam family "Small nucleolar RNA SNORA3/SNORA45 family". Rfam says of the family: The members of this family belong to the H/ACA class of snoRNAs which are thought to guide the sites of modification of uridines to pseudouridines. This family includes mouse snoMBI-28 and human homologues ACA3 (SNORA3) and ACA3-2 (SNORA45). Both ACA3 and ACA3-2 share the same host gene. Lineage: Eukaryota; Metazoa; Chordata; Mammalia; Rodentia; Chinchillidae. The record is from Rfam by way of RNAcentral.